AUGGAGGGCGGCGCGUCCCGGCGACCCACUCGGCCGAGUCGCGCGAACGGCGAACCGCUCGGUGCGCGCGCUGCGGGCUCUGGUCUGAGCGCCGAGGAGCGCGAGGCGAGCGAGGCUAAACCGCCGUUUGGCAAGUACGGAGCCCCGAUCCGACACCGGUGGCCGCCUCCACGCUCUCCCGUUGAGUCCCCGCGCCCAGCGCGGUCCGGGUCCCGGUCGGCGGAGUCCGCCCCGGCUAAGUGCUCGCUCGAGAGAGCUAGCGCGUCCGCUCCGGGGCCGCCCCGUGCGAGCUCCGAGGGAGCCGCACAUGUUACGGGUGAAAACGGCCGCUCGGGUAGUUGCGGCGCCGGGUUUGGGGUACGGACUCCGCGCGAGGCGGGUCGGAGCCGCGCCGAAGGGGCGCGGGCGGGGAGCGUCUGAGUCGGAAGCGACCUCGGCGAAGGGCCGGGGAACCGCCGACGGGCCUCGCCCGAUGCUUGCCCCCCGCGCCUCGGGAACCCCGGAGGGCUCCCGAGCGGCGCCGAGGGGCCGAGCCCCGGGUCGCGACCGCCUCUCCUCCGCGAAAGCGGGGAUCAUCGUGGGGUCCGCGUUGUAGGGCCUUCGCCCGUGGCUUAGGAUCGACUAACACUUGUGCAACGGCUGUUGACAAGAAACCCUUCUCCGCGUCAGUCCUCCAGGACCUCUCCAGAGUAUUUGCUACUACCACCAAGAUCUGCGCCGACGGCGGCUCCGGGCGGGCUCGCGCCCUGAACCCUUCUGCGCUCACCGCCGCGCCCUCCUACUCGUCAGGGUCUACCCGAGGCGCGUUCCCGCCGCUGGCGCGCUCCUCGGCCCGUUUGACCGGGCGCCGGGAGCGGCUCGCGCGGCGACGUCGCCCGUGCUCUACCGCUGACGGCCGGGUAUCGGCACGCUACUCCUAGCGCCAGACAUUUCGGAACCACCGGCAUCGGCAGGUGAGUCGUUACACACUCCUUAGCGGAUGCCAACUUCCAUGGCCACCGUCCUGCUGUCGCACGCCGGCGUCCGACCAUUGAACGGGUGUCUGUAAUUUCGGUAGCGAUUUAGGCGCCUUAACCCGGCGUUCGGUUCACCCCGCAUCGUCAGUCCUGCUUACCAGAACGGACCCACUGGGCUCAGCUCUCAUCCGUCGGUGUGCGCGCGGCCGACCCCGAGGGGACGGCCGCCGGGCUUCGUCCGCCGGGAAAGCCCCCGGUCUCACCCGUUCGGAGUUUGAGAAUAGGUCGAGACCGUUGCGGCCCCGAGAAGCCUCUAAUCAUUCGCUCUACCGGGGAUGGGAUUGCGAGCCGGCGCGGAACUCGUCGUACGGUCCGCGCUGAUCGAGCGCCAGCUAUCCUGAGGGAAAUUUCGGAGGGAACCAGCUACUAGAUGGUUCGAUUGGUCUUUCGCCCCUAUACCCAGCUCGGACGAUCGAUUUGCACGUCAGAACCGCUGCGGACCUCCGCCAGGGUUUCCCCUGGUUUCGUCCUGGCCGGGCAUAGUUCACCAUCUUUCGGGUCCUACCGUGCACGCUUCGAGAGCGCCUCGCUCGCCGCCCUGGGUGGCGGGUAUCUGCUCGGCGCCCCGGGAUUGCUGCAACGGGCCGCAGCUAGGACGGACACCGCCGGGGUACGCGCGGAGUUGCCCCCGUUUCCCCCGGCCCCGUUGUUUCGUCCCUUGCGCUGAGCGCUCACUUUCAUUGCGCCUCGGGGU
RNAcentral lists this long non-coding RNA (1710 nucleotides) under Bemisia tabaci. Its description in RNAcentral is "lncRNA ENSSWEETPG008648". The record is from RNAcentral. Lineage: Eukaryota; Metazoa; Arthropoda; Insecta; Hemiptera; Aleyrodidae.